Molecule: transfer RNA, 120 nt
Filed under: Bacteroidota bacterium
Lineage: Bacteria; Pseudomonadati; Bacteroidota
Description: tRNA-OTHER
Rfam family: tRNA
About the family: Transfer RNA (tRNA) molecules are approximately 80 nucleotides in length.
Source: RNAcentral
GGAGAUAUGGCGGAAUUGGUAGACGCAGUAUGUUAGUGCACGACAUACGUCCAUAAUGUCAACGUAGCUGUAAUGGCGUAAAGCGGGUAAUUGGUUCGGGUUCGAGUCCCGUUAUCUCCA